Molecule: long non-coding RNA, 816 nt
Filed under: Androctonus crassicauda
Lineage: Eukaryota; Metazoa; Arthropoda; Arachnida; Scorpiones; Buthidae
Source: RNAcentral
UUUUUGAUAAAAAACUGAAAUUAUUAUAUUAUACUAGUUUCCAUAAAUUAAGAACAAAACAGAAAAAUGGCAAUAAUUUUUUAAAAAGUUGCUGAAUGCACUUAAAAAUGAUAUAUACUAUAUAGAUUUCAAUGCUAAGUAAGAAUAAAAUAUACAAUUUAUUUCUGUAGUCAUCUAUAUAUGAAAAUCAGCUGCAUUAUGAAAGCCACUGUGUAAAGUUUGGUUCACUAAUUCAAGUUUGAAGUUGAAAGAGGAAAAUCAGAUAGCAGAAUUUUAGAAUAUGCUUUGUAGAUGUCAUUUAACUGAUGAAGUGAGAAACUAAGAGCAGGCCAAAUUCAAGUAGAAAUGGCCAGAUGGUCAAAUAUUAACCAUACUUUGUUUACAGACUGUGGAGCUAAUUUCAAAAUUCUCAAACAGCAUUUUAGAGUACCAAUGGAAGACAAUGACUACCAUUGCUACUCUAAAAUGGAUUAUUAAUAUCUUUGAUUAUUGGCUCGAAAGAAUAGGAAUGCUACUAUAACACCUGCAAUAUGUCCUUGAUGCAGCUACAAGAGGACUGGUAUCUGAUUUCACUGUACAGAGAAAGCUUCAUGAAAGAGGUCUGUAUGCUAGAUGACCAGCAGUCAUGUCGCUUAUCACCAUCACAGGAAGAAAUGUUUGAAAUGGACAAGAUGGUGCUCCUGGACACUUGGCCAAUAGACAUUUCACCAAUGGAUAUUAAACUGAUAAGUAUUUGAUCAGACAGAUAACAGAUCAAACAGACAUUUGGCUGAAUAAACUUAUAGCUUUUUUAAUUUUGUUAUUUUUAUUUCUUCC